Molecule: long non-coding RNA, 3114 nt
Organism: Esox lucius (northern pike)
Lineage: Eukaryota; Metazoa; Chordata; Actinopteri; Esociformes; Esocidae
Source: Ensembl
CUAAAAAUCCAUCUUGGUCUUCUGUGUAAGGUACAGUAGGCUCGGUUCAGGGCGGCUAGUUAAAACAGUAAUGAAAAAGUAAUUUGAUUAUUUUUACUUAUUUGAUAAGCAUGUUGCUAGUUAGCGUUUAUCAGCUACCGGCCGUCGUUUUUAAUUUAACAUUUCAGAGUAAAUGAAGAUGAAUUAGCGAUUAUCUCAUUUGAUUUUUGUUUUUACAGAACAUUUGAAGAACUAGCUUGAUUAGGAGAAUGACAAAAAAAAGAAAUCGUACCACAACAAGUGUCACAUCAAACCAGCCUAGGUCACUCAGGCCGCGAAAGAGAACAUGCUAUGGUGAUGCGUUAGGAAAGAGUACCCCCUCUGGAGAAGCAAUGGAAGCAAAGCCCUUAAAGCUACAAAAGAAGGACACUGUAGGAACAGUGCUGACAACUGCCUCACCUGAAAAUCCACACACCCCUCCCCUGGACUGUACCAGUGGUCCACUUCAGCAGACUCUCUCAGCGGGUGAUACCACUGUAUCGAAGCAAGAGGGCGGGGAGGGUGCUCAUAGGUUGAUGGAGUCCUCCGUUAAAGGUGACAAGGUUGUGUUAGAAAAGGUAUCGACGCUGAGGUUCCUCAGUCCCGCCCUGGACCCACCACCAACUGUAGCCAACCCUCACCCCUACACCCCGCCCUCCCUAACGUCUCAGGGGGUCAAAGCCGGGCAUCCCCGGCCCUCCCUGCCGACCUCCGAAGGGGUCAAAUUUGGGGAAUGGGAUGGUCAAACGACCAGUGCAGAAGAUCACUGUGGAGAGAAGAACACGGAGCCUAAAAUGGAGGAGAGACACUGCGAACAGCCGGAGGCCGCGGAUGAGAGAGACGGGAGACAGAAUCCACCAGUGAAAGACAGAUCCAGGGAACCACAGACGAAGAGGAGGAAGAGGAUGGGGAUGUGUGGGCUAGGAGAGAGGGAGAGGAGAUGUGGAGUGGAGGAGGAGUGGCUGCAGGAAAGAAAGACUUUGAAAGAAAAUGGGAUGGUAAUGAGGAGAGCAGAAGAGGAGGAGAUGGAGGAGGACGAGGGGCAAAGUGGCGACGGCAGUGGGGCCGGCCUUGUGGCCGUGGAGGGAACUGCAUCGAGAGCCGCGUCAUCCUCUGACCUCGCCCUCCUUUCAUCCCUCCCUCCCUCCGACCCCACAGGGGUUAACACUGAGCAGAAGGAGGGUGAGGAGGAGAAGGAGGAAGAGGAGCCCCGGCGGUCUGGCGACGAGGCCGGUCGUUUAAGCCCCGGCCGUGUGUCUGUUUCUGGGCCAGACCCGGUCGCGGAGGUCCUGGAGGUGGGACCACAGCAGCCUGUGAUGCUGGGUGACGAGGAGCUCGGCAUGAUGGGGGUUGUGGAGGACAACCAGGAGGGAGACAGGAGGGGAUAUAGUGCUACUGAUCCUCCGUCCUUCUCCAGCGGCCCUCCACCCACCCCUCUGGAGGAAGAGUCCGCGGUAGAAGUCUGGAACCUACCUAACCGGAGAGAGACGGGGUCAGAGGUCGGGGUUCAUUCCCUGGCUCGGUCAGAGGUCGGGGUUCAUUCCCCGGCUCCCAUUCUGCCUGAGGGCCGUGUCCAUAGAGCUGACAGCACCCAGGCAGAGUCAGAACACAAGGACUCCUCAGACCAACCUCUGCCCACAAAGCCGGAUCCUGGAGCGGCCCUGGGUAACCCCAGGGGGCCUGGUGACGCUGCACUGACCCCUGGUGGCCAGGAGGAGUAUAUCCAAUCAGUCCCGGUGGUUCUGUCCAGAGUGGACCAUGAAGAUGCUGUCCAUCCGCAUGGGGAAGAGGCCCGGGACUACAUAUCUGACUCUCAGCUCAACACCAUUACUCUGCUGUGAGCCGGGGGGGGGGGGUUGUCACGUAAUAUGUAUCCCACCAAUAGAUCCCUUUUAAAAUGUAAAAACGAGUAGGGCCGAUACUUACUGGUAAUGUAUCAGAAAAACAAGGGCUUAUUUGCUUGACAAAAAAAAAGAGAACGCAACGCUAGAUUGACUGAUCUUAGUUAGCAUAUUCAUUUCCAUGGCGUUUCACUUUACACUGGUCGGUUGGACACAUACCACGUCAAUCAAGGCCAAACUGGGGACAUGGAAGGAAGAUGGAGAAAAGGGGGAGGGCUGAAAGGGGUAAAGGGGUGGUUCAUGGGAGGUGACAAAAGAUGAAGGGAUCCGUCUUUCCUGUCCGUCCCUCCUCUCCCAGUUGUGUUUUCCCGCUGUUCCGAAAUAACACCUACUCAGUUGUGUCCAGAAUGACACCCUAUUCCCUUUGGCUGUGGGGCCCACUAGGGCACUCUUAAGGGGUUAGGGUGUCGUUUAGUGAGCUCCCCCCGGAUUGGCCGGCCAGACGACAGUGAUGUGGUAUUCUAGGAGAUGGAGAGAAGGGGUCUCGCUGUUCCUGUCAAGAACCAUCCACCUGACGCUCGUUACUUUAAGGCCUGUUCAUGCUGACCCAGGUCUGCCGAGUGGCAGAUUUCAUUGUCAUCUCUCUCGCCUGUCUUCAACAUCGUUUUUCCAGUAGGCUGGUAUGCUCACCUUUCAGUAGGACUAGGAUAUACUUUCAGGAACGGGGUGCUAUUGUUUAUCUCUAUCUUCCUCCUGACUAGUGAGGAUGAGGAUGGACACGAAGAGGGAGAGCAUGAAGACGCCUCAGAACUGGUCUGUGGCCUGAUCAGAGAACUCUCCUCUCUAAACCGGCUCGUGAUGGCUACGGAUCGGGAGCUGGAGACUUUUCGCCGUGGAAAGAAGACCGCAAGGACCCCGACACAUCGUGUGUUCCCCCCACGACGGACUGAGAUCUAGGAUGCCCCAUUUUAGACGUGGCUUUAAUCGUCACAACGUCCCCGAAGGCUAACAAAGCCCGCACACAGUGGAAGUUAAUUUGAGACUUAUAGAUGAAAAUCAGUUUAUUAAAAACAGCGAUCCUUAUUGUCAACACAUUGAAACGCAACUUUCAUUUCUGUUAAGGGAUAUGGACGUAACCUUGUAAUUAUGCCAGUUUUACCGAUGCAUUUCUGUUGCCGUUUUAUUCCCUUGUUCCCCUAAUGCCGAGGACUUGUUAUAGUGACAUGUGAACUUUCUAAUAAAUCAAGCUUUCCCG